Molecule: long non-coding RNA, 2131 nt
Organism: Bolinopsis microptera
Lineage: Eukaryota; Metazoa; Ctenophora; Tentaculata; Lobata; Bolinopsidae
Exons: 2
Source: RefSeq, a predicted model, not a curated record
CGCAGUCAUACUGAAAAAGGGUGACACAAUAAGAUUCAGAGAUGGAGACAAUGAAGAAUGGAAAUGUGGGCUGAUAGACAGUCGAGCAGGAAAGGCGACAGGUGCACAAAAGAACAGCUAUAAUGUGCACGUUGAUGGUGAGGAUGAGGCUCAAGUAAUCGACCUAACUGAUAAAAAGGUGGAAAGAUUGCUUUGUACAAAAGAAGACAAACUCACAGUCACGAAAGAAGUACCAAAACAGGUCCCAAAAAAGGUCCCAACGCAGAAGAUCGUCAGAAAGAAAUAGAGACAGGACUGUUCCAGAAUUCGCAGUGUCAACCAUCAAAGACCUGAGCUUAUACUCAGGAGUGUCAAAGAACCAUUCAUGUCAUUUUAAUUACCAACACGUGUAAUGUAAUUUACCAAUUUGUGUCAUUUUAUUAAUAAUUACUUUAACAGAUUUGUUUUACAAGAAUUUAUCUAUAGUUUUGUAUUGUAGUUCAAAACUACAACUUUUAACGGGAAUUUUAUAUACUUUUUACGUGCAUAUUUAAACGCUUGUUUUAAUAUUCAUGUAUAUUUUCAAUUUUGUAACCUGUUUAACAGCGAGUGUUUUGACAGGGAAAUUUGUAAUAUUUCAAACAUCACCUGUUAUGAUGUUGAUAACUGCAGUGUGGCAGUGUUUCCUAACAGUUAGAUUUUAAAAUUUUAGAAAGUUGGGUAUUUUAAACUAAGAAAAUUGGAUACAUUCACUGUGUAAAGUUAACCUCAUUUACGUAUUUUCCUAUAAUUUUAACCCCGAAUUACAGAUCCCUAUCUUCAUGAACGGAAACUUUUUAAACUUUCAGGUCGAGUAUAUGAUCUCGAACUGGUAACUAUUAACAACAAAUUUUCAGUGCCAAAGUCCUAUCUCCUAACAUCACUUUAUUUUUUUUCGCAGUUAAUUUCUUGUCAGUUAGUCAGUACCUGUCAGUAUCAAUUUUAACACUGCUAACAAAUAGAUCAAUUCAUAUAAAAUAUAAAUAUCGAGUGUGCAUGUUAAGAUAUUGUUAAAGCUGUUGAUUAGUUUGUAUCUUACUGGAAAACUGAGUUUUAGAAACAGUUGAGCAAUAACCUAUAUUUUGAUUGUUACAGUUGGUGGAAGCUUUUUUCCAGUUCAACUAAGAGAGGUUUUGCUAAACUGUCGGCUUAUUCUUCGGAAUAUUGACCUAGCUCCAGUUUAAUCAGUUUUCUAGUAAAAUUCUAACACAGCAAUUUCUCAAGAAAAACGGUAUGUUUUAAAAAGGGAGUUUCGGUGAAAACACCAUUUUUAAUCGUAAGUUAUGAUUUUGCAGAAUUCUGCAGUAUUAUGGGGUACUUUGAAUUUUGUAAAUCUGAUAAUUUUUGAUUCAGAUGAUUGAGACGGAAGUUUUAAAAUGACGUGGAUUUUAAACGAUUUUUUAAGUAGACUUUUUUCCUUUGUGAGAGGAAAAUUUUGCUUAUUACUAGCAAAAUUUGAAAUUUAGAACGGCGCGGCGUGUUGUGCACGACAGUUCUUUUUGUAUUUUGGUGGAUCGGUUUUCGGGCUUUUUUAAAAAAUUUUUAAAUUGGGAUGAGUGUUAUAAUAUAUGAGUUCUAAGAUUAUUCUUUGUAUUAUAAAUAUAUAUUAUAGCUAAUGUGAGAAGGUGUCACGGUGAAGAAGAGGUAAAGAAGAGAUCCAACGAGGAAGGAGUAACAGAAGGUGUGUUAGAGUAACAGUGCUGUGUAGAAGGUGUACCAGCCUGCGAAGUCCUUCGUGGAUAGUGUAGUAGAACACCGGUGUUUUUAGUGUGUGUGUGUAGUAUUGUAGUGGAGUGUGGAACGAAGAUAAGAAGAUAUAGUAAACAGUAGCUAGGAGUGUAAGUAGUAGUCAACUAGAAGAAAGAAGAUAGUAACGAAGAAGUGUAAUUUGUAUAAACAUAGUUUUAGUAGUAUAUUUUAGUAGGAAGUAAAGACUUUUAGUUCGGAUAUUAUUUGGUGAUAUUUUAGUGUAGUAGUUUUAGUAAGUAGUUAGUUAGUAGUUAGUUUAUAGUGGGAAUCGGGUACAGGUCUAGGGAGGUUAGUGAGUAAGUGAAUUAUUAUAAUAUCUAGUGUUAAUUUAUUAACACCUUCUAUUUCAGUUUAUUUAUUAUAA